RNAcentral lists this ribosomal RNA (433 nucleotides) under uncultured bacterium. RNAcentral describes it as "partial 16S ribosomal RNA". It matches the Rfam family "Bacterial small subunit ribosomal RNA", at positions 29 to 507 of the family's 1533-position model. The record is from RNAcentral.
AACGAACGCUGGCGGCAUGCCUAACACAUGCAAGUCGAACGAGACCUUCGGGUCUAGUGGCGCACGGGUGCGUAACGCGUGGGAACCUGCCCUUAGGUUCGGAAUAACUCCCCGAAAGGGGUGCUAAUACCGGAUAAUGUCUUCGGACCAAAGAUUUAUCGCCUUUGGAUGGGCCCGGGUUGGAUUAGCCAGUUGGUAGGGGAAUAGCCUACCAAGGCGAGGAUGCAUAGCUGGUCGGAGAGGAUGACCAACCACGCUGGGGCUGAGACACGGCCCAGAAUCCUAGGGGAGGGAGCAGUGGGGAAUAUUGGGCGAUGGGCGAAAGUCUGAUACAGCAAUGCCGGGUGAGUGAUGAAGGGCUUAGGGUUGUAAAGCUCUUUUAGCCGGGAUGAUAAUGACAGUACCGGGAGAAUAAGCACCGGCUAACUCCGUG